Molecule: long non-coding RNA, 999 nt
Organism: Micropterus salmoides (largemouth bass)
Lineage: Eukaryota; Metazoa; Chordata; Actinopteri; Centrarchiformes; Centrarchidae
Exons: 2
Source: RefSeq, a predicted model, not a curated record
UUUGUCACAUCCCUCACGUGUUCUUGACUUUUUACAUUCUACACUAGCUUGUUUAUUGUUUGGUCUGUCUGGUUGCCAACCUACUCUCUUGGUUGCUUCAGCGUAUGUUAUCCCUUCUGAUGUUUUAAUUCUCUGUAUUUCUACAGCUCUCUUACUAGCCUCGCAUCCCCUGUAGGCCGAGUUGUGUUCUCCUCCACAGUUACAGCAUUUUAGCUUAGCUCCAUUUACGCAUUUCCCGUACUCAUGUUCACCACUGCAUCUUCCACACCUUUGUUUGCCCUUACAUACAGCUGCUACGUGUCCAUAUUUUUGACACUUAAAGCACCUCAGAGGUGGGGGAACAUAACGUUUGACAUCGUAGCACAUAUAACCUAUAUAUACCUUAGAUGGUAGACUUUCCUCAUCAAAAACAAUCAUAACAGAUGUAACGGAGUUAAAAAUGCACUUUAAUAAUUCUUAUUUCCAAAUUUUAUCUCAUUGAGUUAUUUUAUUUAUAUUUAUUUUUGCUAUUUUUUCUUGUGGAAAUGUAAACUCCGUCAUUCCUUAGCUGCACACUACCCCUUUUGUACCUCCUAAGCUUACGUAGUGCUCGUCUCCCUCAGUCGCGUCUUGCACCGCUGAGGCUAAGUUGUGUAGAAAAGUGCUGCUGGGUUUAUCUAUUGUUUUCUUUGGAAAUUGAACCAUUUACGUUAAAACUUUAAACACAAAUUGUGCAAUUUCAAUAUGGUUAUGUCACGUAGCAGUUUUGUAUCAGUGUGACCGUUAAAAUACGUUUUAUCAGUGUUUUCAUUUUAACUUUCUGGCGCCAGUUUUACCAGGCAGGCGGGCCGUGUCAUGUUACCUAUGUAACCUGUCGGAGUUUUCAGCGUCUUGUCACUUGUAAACGCUGUAUUUGUAUGUUUAGGAAGCAGAGGUAAUGUAAGAGGAGGCCAGGGGGCAAUUGAUGUGUGCAUUGUGUUCUGCAGAUGUGCGAGCCAAUAAAUCGUGGAAAAGAAGUGA